CGAAAAAUUCAAGUCUCUCUGAGUCUCUGAGAGUCUCUAGAAGGCUCGCUGAGUCUUGCUGAGUCUCUCUGAAUCUUCCUGAGUCUCUCUGAGUCUCCAUUUUAAAGACCAGCAGACAAUCGUGUUUCACAUGGUCUCUUUGAGUCUCCCAGAGUCUCUCAUUCAGAGACUAUGAAAGACUCAGACUAUAAAAUUUCCCAGCAAACAUUAAGUCUCCCAACACGAGACUUAAAGAGACAACUUACAGACUGUAAAAUUUUUUAAGCAAACAUGUAGUCUUUCAACACGAGACUUGGAGAGACUAGAGACUGUAAAAUUUCCCAGCAAACAUUUAGUCUCCCAACACGAGACUUACAGAGACUAAAAACUGGGAAUUUCCCAACAGCUUUAAAAUUUAUCUCUUCAACAAGACCAAACAGUAACAAAAAUUUUAUAAGUAGGGUACGUUUAUCUACGAACAAUAGUGUAUGUACAUAUAAUAAAAUUGGUACUACAUUAGGCAGUAAUAUUUUUACACGUACAAUAUUUUCGUAGGUUGGUGUAAAUUUGUAGGUUUGUGUCCAGAAAAUAAUAUUUUAAAGAUUCAUUCCGAACUGAACCUUCGAAUCGGAUAGUUUGCUUGAAAUAUCAGUGGAUAUCGUGUUGUGUUUCACAGUGUUAAAAAAAUGUUCGUUUUAGUUUUUUGGAUUAAAACCUUGCAAAAGUCUGUUAUUAACGAAAAAGACAUUUGCAUUCCAUCGAGCCCAGACGUUACAGCAGAAGUAGGGGAUAUUGUACUAUAGUGAAAUGGGGAAAAUCGAAGUCUCAAACGAAGAUUCUCCGAUACAUCAGGUCUAAAGAAGAAUUAGAAAAAAUAAAUGUUGGGGAAAGAUGGGAACAUCAUUGAUAAAGCAACAAGAAACUCGAAAAAAAAACAAUUCAACAAAAAUAUUGCAGAGAAAAAAAGUUUUAGUAAAUUCAAACUAUUAUCUCAAAAAGCUUGUAAGCAAACUGAGAAAUAUUAUAAUGAAGAACUUUUAUCGAGUUUACUUGAAAAAAAUUGCGAAGAUAAAGAUAAUUACACAGAUGACGAUGAGAUAGUAGCCGAUACAAUUCGAGAUGACAAUAAAACAUCAGAAAUCGAUGAAAUCAGUAAAUCAUGUUAUAUUUCAGUUUCCGAUAAUAGUAUUAGUACCACGUGCGAACUUUGUUCAUCAUUGCCUGUAACAUUAAUUACUGCAUAGGCUAUCAUGUGUAUGGAACAUGUUUUAAAAUUUUUAAAGACUAUACAUUAUCAGAAAGUAUCUAUUGAAAAAGCAAAUAGUAGUGUAAGUAAUGAGUAAAAUAAUAAUGCAUUAUACUCCUGUAUAAGAAAAUUUAAAUUAAUUUUAAAUGUAAUAUUUAAUAAUAAAAACUAUUAAUAUAAAACUAUAUUGUAUUUUUAAUUAUUUGUAUAAAAAUAUUUUAAGAGUUGAUCCUCAGUCUCUCAUUCAGAGACUUUAAAACAGUCUCGCAGAGUCUCUCAUUAAGAGAUUCUAAAACAGUCUCGCCGAGUCUCUCAUUCGGAGAUUCUAAAACAGUCUCGCCGAGUCUCUCAUUCGGAGAUUCUGAAACAGUCUCGCAGAGUCUCUGAUUCGGAGACUUCUAUUACUUUAAAACAGUCUUCGGAAGUCUCUUCCUGAGAGAUUCGUAGAGAUCGAGUCUCUACGAGUCUCUGUG
Molecule: long non-coding RNA, 1698 nt
Organism: Microplitis mediator
Lineage: Eukaryota; Metazoa; Arthropoda; Insecta; Hymenoptera; Braconidae
Exons: 3
Source: RefSeq, a predicted model, not a curated record